UGGCCAAGUAAAUCAAAGGGCAGGAAACAGCUAAAAUUAGAUGUGGAAGGGAGAUGAAACCACAGCUCUUUUGAACUCAGAAGCAUCCAUUAACCCAACAGCAUAAGGAGUUUCUGGUGUUCUGGUGGCCAGAUCUUCUAGUGCCUCCUUGGCAUAGCCACGAGCCUCCACAUUGAUGGGUAGAUGUGGAGUGCAUGGUAUCAACUGUUCUGACACCUCUGGGAGAGGAUACUUGGAGAAGAAUCCCUCCCUUGUGCUCACUCCUCUCAGAGGAAAG
Cebus imitator (Panamanian white-faced capuchin) is the source of this 277-nucleotide long non-coding RNA. RefSeq lists it as uncharacterized. NCBI's taxonomy places the organism in Eukaryota, Metazoa, Chordata, Mammalia, Primates, Cebidae. The transcript is spliced from 2 exons. The record is from RefSeq and is a predicted model, not a curated record.